Long non-coding RNA from Misgurnus anguillicaudatus (oriental weatherfish), 993 nucleotides. RefSeq lists it as uncharacterized. The record is from RefSeq and is a predicted model, not a curated record. NCBI's taxonomy places the organism in Eukaryota, Metazoa, Chordata, Actinopteri, Cypriniformes, Cobitidae.
AGGACGUCAACUGCCAUAAAAGAAGAAUAAAGAUCGUUUGUUUUGGGUGCCAAAAUGAAGACUCAGCAGCAGCAGUCAGUCAGAAGAACUCUCUCAGACGGACACCACGUUAUUAAAGUCCAUCAUCCUUUCAUGCGCUACACAGCAUUGAUAAAUGCUGAAUUUAAAAGAAUCACUACUGUCUAAUGUUCCUGUGUCACCUGGACCUCCAAUCCAAAAACCUGAUGAAACUCUUCUAUCAGAAAGGAGGACAGCUAGCAAAAACACUUGGAACAAUCAAUGAUCAAAUGACAGAAGGCAUGGAUGAAGUCAGCAUCAGUGAGGUCAUUUGAAGACACCAAUGUUGGGAUUUGUGCUCUCAAACAACAUGCUUCUUGUGAUGAAGAAGAGGAUCUUUGUAUAGUCCUGGAAGCCAUGAAGGUGUUGCAACAUCGUGUUUGAGCUGAUGUAUGCCUUAAACCUGAGCUAUCCUGAUCUCCGCUUUAUUUUUGAGGAAAUCCAAACUGCAUUGAGAGUAACUUUAACGAACAGUUUCUUUCAGUGAAAGGAUCAGAAAGACUGUGCUGCUCAUUUAUGUUCUUUUUAUUUAUCUGUUUUAAGUGUUUUCUCUUAUUAAAACAUUAACAGUUUGCUGCUCCUAGUUGAUUUUGGAAAUGGUUGUUGUAUUUUGUUUUUGUUGAAUCUUUGAUUAUCAGUUUAUACAAGUGCUGUUGCUCUGACUUUCUGAAGGAUUGAUAUUUUCCAGUUUGUAAAUCCAUUUUAAAAAUAAUAGUACUUACUGUUUUGCAUGUCUCUUUGGAAUGCAGUGUUUGUGUUUUAGCACUUCUAAAUCUACUGUGAUAGUAACUAUUUUAAACAUUUGGGUCAGUUUUACAGAUGGGGCUUUUCCUAGUCCCAGACUUUUGCAAUGCCUUAAUUUGAAAACUUAUUGCACUGACAUAUCUUGACAUAUAUCAGUGCCAUUGUUUUGUCUCAAGAUGUACUCCAGUGUUG